GGCGCGGCUGCCGCCGCGCCGGCGAAGGGGGAAACCUCCGGUGUCCUGGCUGCCCUGCGACGGUCGUGCAGCAGAGGGGCCCCUGCGGCCCCCUCUCGCGGCGUGCAAAAGGUCGGUGACCCACCCGACCCGUCUUGAAACACGGACCAAGGAGUCUAACAUGUGUGCGAGUCAUUGGGCGCACUAAACCCAGAGGCGCAAUGAAAGUGAAAGGAGGGUGCCUCGCUCUUCGCGGGGCGGCGGCGCUCUCCGGGGCCGAUCCCUGACCGACGGAGACCGCGGCCGCGGUGGACCCACACCAAAGCGAGGUCGCCUAAAGGCGGCGCUGGCGGGGUGAGACCCUUUCCCCCGCCGCGCUCGCUGGCCUCGUGGGCCCCCGGCCGGCUCCCUGGUCCGGACUGUAACAGGUCCGCCUGUACGCAGGGGGGCGCAGGCCCGGGACUUGCCAUGCGACGCGUGCGCGCGAAUCUGUUGUUGGCCUCGCCGGCUCUGCUUGGGCUCUCGGUUGGCGUGCCGCGUGUCUUUGGGCGGGUCUGUGGUGGCGGGGCUCGCGCUCCUCCCCCGGGCUCGUCCGGCGCGGUGGCGCUCUCCGAUCCUGCUCUGUCCGGCGUGGCCUAGCGCGCUCGCUGUCGGCAAGUACCAUGAGCAGACAUGUUGGGACCCGAAAGAUGGUGAACUAUGCCUGGCCAGGAUGAAGCCAGAGGAAACUCUGGUGGAGGUCCGCAGCAAUUCUGACGUGCAAAUCGAUUGUCAGAGCUGGGUAUAGGGG
This 769-nucleotide ribosomal RNA is filed under the name Thalamita rubridens. RNAcentral's name for it is "eukaryotic LSU rRNA". The stretch from base 659 to 769 matches the Rfam family "Eukaryotic large subunit ribosomal RNA", at positions 813 to 923 of the family's 3401-position model. The record is from RNAcentral. Lineage: Eukaryota; Metazoa; Arthropoda; Malacostraca; Decapoda; Portunidae.